CCUACGUGAGGCUGCAGUGAGGAAUAUUGGUCAAUGGCCGGAAGGCUGAACCAGCCAUGCCGCGUGAAGGUCAGUGCCCUAUGGGCGUUAAACUUCUUUUGUGCGGGAGCAAUAAUGGUCACGUGUGGCCAGACGAGAGUACCGUACGAAUAAGCAACGGCUAACUCCGUGCCCGCAGCCGCGGUAAUUAGGGGGAGGCAAGCGUUUCCCGGGUUUAUUGGGUUUAAAGGGUGCGUAGGCUGUGAGGGAAAUCAUGGGUGAAAUGCCCCCGCUCAAAGGGGGGAAGUGCCAUUGAUACUGCCUUGCUGGAAAGCGGAUGCCGUAGGAGGAAUGUGUGGUGUAGCGGUGAAAUGCAUAGAUAUCACACAGAACACCGAUUGCGAAGGCAUCUCACGAAUCCGCGAUUGACGCUGAUGCACGAAAGCGUGGGUAUCAAACAGGAUUAGAUACCCUAGUAGUC
This 460-nucleotide ribosomal RNA is filed under the name uncultured bacterium. RNAcentral's name for it is "partial 16S ribosomal RNA". It matches the Rfam family "Bacterial small subunit ribosomal RNA", at positions 338 to 795 of the family's 1533-position model. The record is from RNAcentral.